CAGCCGCCGCGGUAAUACAUAGGGGGCGAGCGUUAUCCGGAAUUAUUGGGCGUAAAGGGUGCGUAGGCGGCCAUUUAAGUCUGGGGUGUAAGUGCAGUGCUCAACGCUGUGAUGCUCUGGAAACUGGAUGGCUAGAGUUAGAUAGAGGCAAGUGGAAUUCCAUGUGUAGCGGUAAAAUGCGUAAAUAUAUGGAGGAACACCAGUGGCGAAGGCGGCUUGCUGGGUCUACACUGACGCUGAGGCACGAAAGCGUGGGGAGCAAACAGGAUUAGAUACCCUGGUAGUCCACGCCGUAAACGAUGAGUACUAAGUGUUGGAGAAAUUCAGUGCUGAAGUUAACGCAGUAAGUACUCCGCCUGAGUAGUACGUACGCAAGUAUGAAACUUAAAGGAAUUGACGGGACCCCGCACAAGCGGUGGAUCAUGUUGUUUAAUUCGAGGAUACGCGAAAAACCUUACCAGGUCUUGACAUACUCUGCAAAGGCUUAGAAAUAAGUUCGGAGGUUAACAGAGAUACAGGUGGUGCAUGGCC
This 531-nucleotide ribosomal RNA is filed under the name uncultured archaeon. Its description in RNAcentral is "bacterial SSU rRNA". It matches the Rfam family "Bacterial small subunit ribosomal RNA", at positions 509 to 1050 of the family's 1533-position model. The record is from RNAcentral.